ACAUUUUUCUUUUACUUAAAAUAAAUAUUAUUAUUUCUUUCUGGUUAUGAAUAAAUUUUACCACAUUACAUUUCAAACUAAAGUAAAAUAAAUAUGUUACUCAAGUAGGGGAGAAGUGGGAAUUUUGUGCAUUGAAUGUGAAGUUGAAAUUGAUCUUUUGUAUUGUUCUUGGUUAAUAAAUCUCAUGACAAAGGGGGAAAAAUAUUUUCUUUUUCUUAUGUAAAAUAUGGUGAAAUUGAUGGCUUGGUAUGAUAAUCUAUAAAAAGCUGCUGUCUAUAUUAGACACUGCUCUAAAAGUGCAUGCUAAAUCAACCAGGGCGAUUGGGUUUGAAAUUGAUCAGGAAAGCCCUAAGGUCUAUUUCGGAAUCGAUACCUUAGAACAUGGAUGAGGGAGAAGAGAGUAGUGUACGGGAUCAUUCCAGAAUCGAGGAGAGAGACUUUUGUCGAUGGGUUGAGAAAAAUUGUGAAUGGUGAAUGCUUGAAUUAGUUAAAGUGGUAGAAUUACGUGCAACAUUUUCAUUUUUGGCUCUGAAGUGGAGCUUUUUUCUUUGAUGAAGAUGAAUGCUCUGCUUGUAGUCUUUCUAGAAAAGAUUGGUGACUGUGCUUAACCUAUUUUGUGACUGUCCUAAUUUGCUAUGCUCAAAUCCUGCCUUGAUCCGUUGACUGGUUUACUGGUGCUUUGAGGUAGCUAGUUUUCCAGGUUUUUUAAGGAGCUAUGCAGUUUAAGUAUAGUCAUUUUGAUGUUCAUCUGGUUGACUAGCUGCUCGAUGAAACUCUUUGCACCUGUCUUGGCGCAUCAUUUCUAAUCCGAGUCUGAAUCCAUUGGUUGGUCUCUUGGAUGGCUUUAGCUUUCUGGUUAGCUUGCCUUUCGCAGGGUUAUAUUUGCAUACUUUUCAUACAAGAUGAGUCUUGACCCUAGUGUUGUGCCAGUCCUCACACUUUAUAGACUUAAAGGGUAAAAUAAACAAGGGCCUCAUAUAAUAUAAUAGUGCUUCAAUUUUCAAUUUCUAAACAAACACUUCUAUAUUUAAGAAUAGUGUUGGUUCAUUUUAUCAUAGUAAUAGUAUAAAUUUACAAAUCUAGAUCCAAGCACUGCAAGUCUGUAAAUAUAAAUCAACAGAAAAGUCAAGAUAAAGGUAGGCACAUAAACUAAAACAAACAUUGAAGAAAUUGGCUCUAAAAAUUGAAUAAAGGGGAAUCCAAAUAGAUACUUAAGUAGAAUGAUUACUCUUCUCAAAAAUUGCUAGACCGGGAAUCUGAAUCUGUAUAAGUGGAGCCACUAAAGACUUGAAAGCAAGGAGGUCAAGAGACUUACUUUAGAAUUGUAGUAGGUAGUACAUCUGGUUGUACUGAAAGUGAGUGGAAGUUGAGGAUUGGAGAGCCUGCAUGUCUUAUAAUUUUCUUUCUCCAACUACUAGGCUUCUUGUAUUAUAAUCCAAUUUCAUGUGGAGCUUUUUCUGGUGACUGCAUCAGCCUUGGACCUUCGGAAAUUACCCCUCCAAACUAAGCUCAAGGGUGGGCUUGCUUGACCCUCAUCUGCUAGUGAUAAUGUUAGGCUACUUGAACUGUUUUGUCCCCCUUUUUUGGGGUUGAAUUAUAUGGCUAGCCUUGACCCUCUAUGCUAGAAAGUUCUUAUGUAUACCUUCCCCUUCAAUUAAUAUAAGUGGGAAACUGGGAAUGUUCAAUGAUGGAGAUAGAUUUGUGGACACAAAACAUUUGGGUCUGUUUACUAGCAUAACUGACCUGGUGAUGUGCUAUGUUGUUUGUAAAGAAAAUGUACCGAUGAUCUGAAUGUUUCGUUCAGUAAGGAGUGAGAAAGUAGUCAACUUAUGGAAAGCAGAGCGGGGGAGAGAAAAGUCUGCAGCUUUGUAGCUAUGGUUCGUAUGGCUAUCUAAGACGGGUACAGUGCUGUUAUUAAGUACUCAGGAUUUAAGAUUUAUCUUAUUUAUCUAAAUGUGCAUAUCUCUUAGCAAAUCCAACAGUAAUUUCCCACUUUUCGUUUUCUUUCAAGGCCAGGGGGUGGGUAGGGAGGGGUAGUCAUUAUUUCUGGUUUCACUUCUGCUAUAUCUUCUAAGCUAUGAAAAUCGAAUAUUACAAAAGUGUUGGUUUCUAAAGGAAUGUUUCUUUGUAUUGAUGUCCACUAUUAGGAAUGUAUUCUUAUAGCUUGAACUUAGAGAAUUUGCAUACGGGACAAUUUGGAUAUCAUUUUAUUAUUUUGGUUGAUAAGGAGAAGUGAUCUAUGAGCCAGCACAGGUGAAGCCGGCUCAAGUUAACCGGCAAGACCCUUUAGAAUAACCAGCAAGACCCUUUAGAAGUAGGGGUAUGGGAAUCCUCACCUUAAAAUCCUCCUAAUGGGGUUUGAUCCUAUGACCUUGAGGUUGUGAGACGCAAAUCCUUACCACUAGACCAAUCUUUACUUGGUAUUUCAGUUUCAACCUUAUCUUAAGUCCGGGUUUCAUAAGAUAAUGUAUAAAGAAGCAAUGAAUUUUUCGUUGAUUGUAAUGUUACUUAUGCUUACCCUCUUCUCAACAUUUAGGUAUUUGGGCAUCAAGUGAUUUUAUAUUUAGGAGAUACAGUAGUCUUUGUUGUGAAAGAAAGGCUAAUGAAGAGAAGAUGGUUGGUUUCAGUUAGCAACUACUCAUGAGUCAACUCAAUGUUUUAUUUGUGGCACUUGGUCUUCUUCUUUUUUUUUGUCUGGAAUUAGUUGGCUCAACUCAAUAAAUUGAAAGAUAGUCUAGUUGUACUUUUUAUUUAUCUACUUUGUUCAGGCAUAUGUGUGCUUCCAAACUCAUUUAGGACUUGUUUUGCACCAAUUCAUAUUCACAGAUCCCUUCUGUUUA
Molecule: long non-coding RNA, 2840 nt
Organism: Beta vulgaris subsp. vulgaris (sugar beet)
Lineage: Eukaryota; Viridiplantae; Streptophyta; Magnoliopsida; Caryophyllales; Amaranthaceae
Exons: 2
Source: RefSeq, a predicted model, not a curated record